RNAcentral lists this ribosomal RNA (508 nucleotides) under uncultured bacterium. Its description in RNAcentral is "bacterial SSU rRNA". It matches the Rfam family "Bacterial small subunit ribosomal RNA", at positions 19 to 518 of the family's 1533-position model. The record is from RNAcentral.
AUGGCUCAGGAUGAACGCUAGCUACAGGCUUAACACAUGCAAGUCGAGGGGCAGCAUUGGGAUAGCUGCAUUCAGAUGGCGACCGGCGCACGGGUGAGUAACGCGUAUCCAACCUUCCUGCCAGUAGGGAACAGCCCGGCGAAAGUCGGAUUAAUGCCCUAUGUUCUUCAAUGCGGACAUCUAAGUUGAAGGAAAGAUUCAUCGCUGGCAGAUGGGGAUGCGUCCGAUUAGCUUGCCGGCGGGGUAACGGCCCACCGGGGCGACGAUCGGUAGGGGUUCUGAGAGGAAGGUCCCCCACACUGGUACUGAGACACGGACCAGACUCCUACGGGAGGCAGCAGUGAGGAAUAUUGGUCAAUGGGCGUAAGCCUGAACCAGCCAAGUAGCGUGCAAGGAUGACGGCCCUACGGGUUGUAAACUGCUUUUAUGCGGGGAUAAAGUGCGGCACGUGUGCCGCUUUGCAGGUACCGCAUGAAUAAGGACCGGCUAAUUCCGUGCCAGCCGCUGC